AGAGUUUGAUCCUGGCUCAGAACGAACGCUGGCGGCGUGGCUAAGGCAUGCAAGUCGAACGGGCAUAGUUUUUGGGUAACCGAGUUCUAUGCUAGUGGCGAACGGGUGAGGAAUACAUGGACAACGUGCCCCGUGCACAGGGAUAGCGGCGGAACUUCGGUUCCUUUGCGAAAGUGCCGGUAAUACCCGAUGACCCGCGGAAUCUCCUGGUUCUGCGGGCAAAGCUCCGGCGGCGUGGGAGCGGUCCAUGUCCUAUCAGCUUGUUGGUGGGGUAACGGCCUACCAAGGCAACGACGGGUACCGGGUGUGAGAGCAUGACCCGGCACAUCGGGACUGAGACACUGCCCGGACACCUACGGGUGGCUGCAGCAACGAAUAUUCCGCAAUGGACGCAAGUCUGACGGAGCGACGCCGCGUGCAGGAAGAAGUCCCUCGGGAUGUAAACCCCUGUAGGCGGAACGAAUCCCCUGAGGACGAACAAUCCUUGGGGUUGACGGUACCGCCAGAGGAAGCCCCGGCUAACUACGUGCCAGCAGCCGCGGUAAUACGUAGGGGGCAAGCGUUGCUCGGAUUUACUGGGCGUAAAGAGCGCGUAGGCGGCCAGGUAAGUCCGAUGUGAAAUUCCUCGGCUCAACCGAGGGACCGCAUCGGCAACUACUUGGCUUGAGUCCAGGAGAGGAGGGUGGAAUUCCCGUGUAGCGGUGAAAUGCGUAGAUAUCGGGAGGAACACCAGUGGCGAAGGCGGCCCUCUGGAAUGGUACUGACGCUGAGGCGCGAAAGCUGGGGGAGCGAACGGGAUUAGAUACCCCGGUAGUCCCAGCCGUAAACGAUGGGCACUAGGUGUGGGAGGUAUUGACCCCUUCCGUGCCGCAGCUAACGCAUUAAGUGCCCCGCCUGGGGAGUACGGCCGCAAGGUUGAAACUCAAAGGAAUUGACGGGGGCCCGCACAAGCGGUGGAGCAUGUGGUUUAAUUGAUGCAACGCGAAGAACCUUACCAGGGCUUGACAUCCAGCGAACUUACUAGAGAUAGUUUGGUGCCUUCGGGAAUCCAGACACAGGUGUUGCAUGUCUGUCGUCAGCUCGUGUCGUGAGAUGUUGGGUUAAGUCCCGCAACGAGCGAAACCCUUAUUGUUAGUUGCCAGCGGGUAAGGCGGGGACUCUAGCGAGACUGCCGUUGUUAAAACGGAGGAAGGUGGGGACGACGUCAAGUCAUCAUGGCCCUUAUGGCCUGGGCGACACACGUGCUAGAAUGGCUUGUACAAAGGGACCGAGACCGCGAGGUGGAGGCAAUCCCACAAAGCAAGCCCCAGUUCGGAUUGCAGGCUGAAAUUCGCCUGCAUGAAGUUGGAAUCGCUAGUAAUCGCGUAUCAGCCAUGACGCGGUGAAUAUGUUCCUGAUCCUUGUACACCCCGCCCGUCAAGCCACGAGAGCCGGGAGUGCCCGAAGUCGCGAUCCCAACCGUCAAGGAGGGUAGCGCCGAAGGCAAGCUGGUGACUGGGACUAAGUCGUAACAAGGUAACC
RNAcentral lists this ribosomal RNA (1521 nucleotides) under uncultured prokaryote. RNAcentral describes it as "partial 16S ribosomal RNA". It matches the Rfam family "Bacterial small subunit ribosomal RNA". The record is from RNAcentral.